Molecule: long non-coding RNA, 2588 nt
Organism: Malurus melanocephalus (red-backed fairy wren)
Lineage: Eukaryota; Metazoa; Chordata; Aves; Passeriformes; Maluridae
Exons: 3
Source: RefSeq, a predicted model, not a curated record
CCCUCCCCUCGCUCCCGCCCACGGCCCCGGACAAAGGGACCCGAAGCCCGCGUCCCCUCUCGCUGCCGCGCCCUGGGGUUCCCGCAGGGUCUCCCCACAGUGCCCCUCGCUUGGCUGCGCCGUCGGGGGGAGAUGCGCUCGGCUGGCGGUGUGGCUAUAAAUUACAGAAUCGCGGAAUAAAUCAGGCUGGGAUGGUCGCUCCCAACCUAUGACCGGACACCAUCCUGUCAACAACACCGUGGCACUAAACGCCGCGUUCAGGCUUUCCUUAAGUACCGCCAGGGAUGGUGACUCCAGCACYUCCCUGGACAGCCCAUUCCAAUGCCUCACCACCCUUUCCUAUGAAGAAAYUCCUCCUGGWGUCCAACCUAACCCCMCCGGUACAGCUUCAGGCCAUUUCCUCUUGCCCUUGUGCCCUGAAAGCAGAGCCCGAACCKCGGCCCCAGCUCCACACCUUSCCCCACCCCCGGCYGUCCCCUCUUGUCAGGGAGUUGUGCAGAACCACAAGGUCCCCCCUGAGCCUCYUUUGCUCCAGGCUGAGCCCCUUUCCCAGCUCCMUCAGCCACUCCUGGGGCUCCAGACCCUUCCCCAGCUCAGUUCCCUUCCCUGGACGCGCUCCAGCCCCUCAAUUUCGUGUCGUGAGGAGCCCAGAACCGGACACAGCCGGUGCGGCCUCAGCAGUGCCCAGCACAGGGACGGUCACUGCCCUGCUCCUGCUGCCACCCCAUGGCUGGGACAGUCCAGGGGCCAUCGGCCGUCUGGGCCACCUGGGCACCCCAGGCUGCCUGGGCACCACGUUCAGCCAUGCAUGUUCAGCUGCAGCUAUAAAUCCCUCAAAAAUAAGAGAUUUUGCUGUGCCAGAUGUUUCUUAUUCUGAAUUUACUCCUCCCUCUCUUGCAGGCUGCUCUCUGUGUCGCUGUGUGGACAGUGUCGGCUCCUGGCUCUGCCUGAGUGCCCCGGUGUGGGGCUGCUUUGAUGGUGUUUGAUAUACAGGGAUCUCCCAGGUCAGCAGCUAUAGGAUGAGAGGAYAGCCUUAAGAUGCACCAGGGGAGAUUCAGUUGGUGYGCCUGCAGCAAAGUACUUUUCUCUCCUGACAGAGGAAUGGGUGUGAUGUGCUCCAUUUCACCUCCCAAAUUUAAAGAAUGUGUUUAAAAUUGAAGCUGUUGAUUUCCCCGCCUUUUGCUUGCAUUUGAGAUUUGUUUCUGGGGCUUAUGUGGCUGAAUUCUUCCUGCUGGAUUAGGCYGAAAAAGGAAGUGAGUAAAAUAUGGGUCUUCAAACUGUGCCUGGCCUGAUGUCAGGCUAAYGAAACUGAAUAUCAGCAUUGUUCCUCUUUACUCAGGGCAGCUCUGGCCUGAUGCUGGGCAUGCAUGGGAUGAACAUCCCGUGUCCAGAAGAGCCUGAGAGUGCCAGGGCUCGAACUACCAGAAAUCCAAUGCUUAGAUGGUCACAAUGACUGAAGAUCUGGAGUAAUUUCUUCCCCUCCGAAACCCAAACCAAAAUAAAAGGAAUGUGAUGUUUACCCAUGUGACUCAGCCCUGAAUCUGACACACCUCUGAAAUGCAUCACAACUACUUUUCACAUGGCUUCAAAAUGCCACCGCAGCAAGGAUUUAUUAAUUUUAAUUUUAAUUUACUAAUUUUGCAGUCAGAGUGAAUUGUAUAUAUGGGGCAUGUACACAAUUUACAGAGUCAGCAGACUAUACCUCUUGGACUCACCUCUUCUAAAUGUUCAAAGUGUUUCAAUACCUGAGAUAUUUUUUUAACAAAAGCCUUCUAUCAGGCACCAUUUAAAAGUGAAAGUUUUCCAUGUAUGCUGAUUUAAGUAAAAUUCUAGAGUCUGGAAAAAUCUGUGUGAAAUUUGCAUUGAUCCUGUAAUUCUUAGUAAGUGAGCAGUUUUUGCUGUUGCCAGUUUUGUAUUGCUAAAAUAGAUUUUAUAUAUACAUACAAUAAUUUGUAUUUAUACCAUAUUGGCUUUUAGAGUGGGUGAGAAUCACAGUGAAUACAUUCUGCUAAUGUGUCCAUAGUCUAAGGGUUACCUCAGUGAUUUAAAUAUUAUUCUCCAAAAUUAGAAAUGGACAAAUAUUUAACUUUACAUUACCUUUCCUGAGUAUUUAUGAGAAAAUAUUGUCUGUUUGCUUCCACCUGGGGAAUGUUUGCUGAAGAAGAGUCAAAAAGAGUACAUGCUUCAGUCUGUGCUUUUAAUAGACAAAAUAAAACAAACAAACAAACAAACAAAAAGAAUAGAAAUGUUUUUUCUGUAACCUUCAUGGCAGGAGGAGAGAGCACGGGUUGUCUGCAGCUGUUUAGAAAGAGCAAAAUCUGGAGGCUCCUCACAGGAGCAGAUGGGGUAAUAGUAAUACUCCUCCCUGUUUUUUGGCUUCAAUAACCUGAAAAUUAUAACUGUGAGUGCUGCAUGGUUCAUGUGCUUCUGACUGCUGCUCUGUAUAGCAAGAACUUAAGUAUACUACACUGCACUUCAUAAGUUCCCUCAUGCAGAACYUGAAGCCUUUCCUAAAACAAUCUAAAAUUUUAAUUUAGCACUGUGUCUUAAGAGGAUUCAAACAGAGCCAUCAAUAUUGUUUGAGAUAA